Molecule: unclassified non-coding RNA, 241 nt
Filed under: Hevea brasiliensis (rubber tree)
Lineage: Eukaryota; Viridiplantae; Streptophyta; Magnoliopsida; Malpighiales; Euphorbiaceae
Source: RNAcentral
GGAAGGGACACUUGCCAAGACUAUUAUCAACGAGCCCAAUGAAGUCACCCUCAUGAAUGGUCUCGUCGCUCCACUAAACAUGAAGGUGUACUACAUAUCCUUCUCUGCUCACGCAGAUUCUGCACAGACAUGCGCGUUUUUGAACGAGCUGAUGCCACCCAAUGUAAUCCUUGUCCAUGGAGAAGCAAAUGAGAUGGGAAGGCUGAAGCAGAAGCUUAUCACUCAGUUUAUUGGCACGAAU